AUAAAACAAUCGCGAAAUAUUAUUAUUUGGCAGCUCUGCUUUUAGUAUUUGUAAAAAUAUUUAUGUAAGUAUGUACAUGUGUCUACUUUAGCACAGAGUGAAAAUUGGAACAUGCAUAAAGUAAGGCAAGAAUACAAAUUGAUACCGUUUAAUAGCGUACCGUCAUCAUCGGCUUUUCUCCCACUCGUUUGCUGCUACAAGCAAUUUUGCUUUUAUUUUUAAACUACAUUUUUAGUCUAUUUUGAAUUUUGGUUGGAACAUAUUUUUGCUGAUAUUUUGCCUACACUCGUAAUACCUCUAAUAUACAAACAAGUUGAUUUUGUUGUUUUUUUUUCCAGAAAAUUGUUACCUGUGGUAAGGCCAGUGCUCGUACAAGGGUUUUUGUUAAUAGCUUAUGUUUGUAUAUACAUUUGUGGAUAUACUGAGGAAUAUUAAAAAGUUGGGGAAAUUAUUCGUUAACCUAUUACAUACUCGUACAUUAACACUUUACCAAUAUUAAUGCUUUAGCUUAAGGAACAGCAUGGCAGUUGAAACGUAGAUUUGCUCUUAGACUGCUGCACACAGCUGCCGAAGUCUCUAGUACGAAUGGCAUCGCCCACGAUCAGCAGCAGAUGCUUACUAUAGUCAUUAUGCGUGCCUGUUAAUAAUAAUCAUAUAGUACUAAAGUAUUAACAAACAACGUGUGUCUUAAAUUACCACACAAGUAUUCCCUGGAUAUUAUAAAUCGCUGCAAACACUUGUGGAAGACGUCUGCUGAAUGACUGGUGGCAAUUUAAUGAUUCUGAAGGCCUAGUACUUUUAUUUUUAAUCUAUUUUUUAAUAUUAUAUUACAUAUUACAAUUAAAAAAUUUUGUAGUCAUAAAUUUUUUUAUUAUUAAAUAUUACAUGAUAUUUGUACUUUGAUCGACUAAAAAAUAAAUUUAUGAAAUUAUAAGUAA
Bactrocera oleae (olive fruit fly) is the source of this 938-nucleotide long non-coding RNA. RefSeq lists it as uncharacterized. The record is from RefSeq and is a predicted model, not a curated record. NCBI's taxonomy places the organism in Eukaryota, Metazoa, Arthropoda, Insecta, Diptera, Tephritidae.